GAAAAAUAAUAUUUGGUGUAAUCCCGUUUGAAGUGAAACGAAACCUUCACUGUAUUGCUUCCUCGCGUUUUGGAAUUUCAGAGUGGAAUGGCGUAUGAACAUCACAAACCCACGCAACCAUGGAUCCAGGACGUACUACCUGUAUUACUGGUUCUUCUGAUAGCAGCGCAUGUCCUCGCUAUGGUGUAUUGGAUUUAUAAAUUAGCCACCCAGAAACAGACGCAAAGGAGAAAGGCUCACUGAAGGUCAAGGUCCGUCGUUUGUGAACCCUAAUUUACCUCCUACGAAAAACUUAACCGUUGUAGAAUGUCCUUAGUCUUCAUUUUACUGGUCUUUUUUUGACAAUGAUCGCAGCAUUUACCAUUUCACUUAGUGCAAAAUGGAUUAAAUUCAUACGCAGCAUCUUAGUGUCGCUUCCACACUUGUUUAUAUUGUUGGGAUUUUAAUUUAUGAUCUCUUGUAGAGCAUGCUUUUAAUUUAGAUGAUUUAUUGGGAUCUUUUAAUCAAUUUUCUCAGCCGUUCCUGUGUGAUGCAUACCUCUGCAUUCUGAUUUCUCGGAAACAAAUAAAAUCCAGUGUUUUUUUA
Vigna unguiculata (cowpea) is the source of this 585-nucleotide long non-coding RNA. RefSeq lists it as uncharacterized. NCBI's taxonomy places the organism in Eukaryota, Viridiplantae, Streptophyta, Magnoliopsida, Fabales, Fabaceae. The record is from RefSeq and is a predicted model, not a curated record.